GGUUCGGUAGCUCAGCUGGAUAGAGCAACAGCCUUCUAAGCUGUGGGUCCCGGGUUCGAAUCCCGGCCGAAUCA
Transfer RNA from Prevotella sp. CAG:1031, 74 nucleotides. It matches the Rfam family "tRNA". Rfam says of the family: Transfer RNA (tRNA) molecules are approximately 80 nucleotides in length. The record is from Rfam. NCBI's taxonomy places the organism in Bacteria, Pseudomonadati, Bacteroidota, Bacteroidia, Bacteroidales, Prevotellaceae.